CUUGCGGGGGAGGGGUCCCUCAGCCCGGAUUGCGAGAGGGCGCAGGCCAGGCUGAGGGACCCCAUCGGUGCAGA
Molecule: microRNA precursor, 74 nt
Filed under: Myotis lucifugus (little brown bat)
Lineage: Eukaryota; Metazoa; Chordata; Mammalia; Chiroptera; Vespertilionidae
Description: mir-9193 microRNA precursor family
Rfam family: mir-9193 microRNA precursor family
Source: Rfam by way of RNAcentral